AAAAGACACUCACCAUCUGCGCUGGCGGUCUGGUAUCAAUCGGUCCUCGGCAGCUGGAGGCAGCUAUUCGCUCUCUCAUUCACUUCUCCGGGAGGCUUUGUUGCGGACGCUUGCGCCGGUGCCGGAUGUCGCACGUGAUUGGUUCUCAUCUGCUCCCGACGCGUUCAAGGGGUCAUCAGACAAACCGGCACUACAACUGGAACAAGAGGCUUUUGGGGUACGUAAAUGUUAGAUCAUUUGCUGUAUUUCGAAUGGGUUUAAAAGUGGUAGUGAUCGUGGCUGUACAUUUUGUUCUUUGAGAGCUAACAAUAUUUUUUUAGGACUGCUAUUAUGUACAUUAAUUUCAAUUUGUCUGAUAUCGGUCUUUUAGAGUUAAUUGUGUUAGGUGUCUUUGAACAUGUCAUGUAUGAUUUGGAUGCUUUAAUGAUUCUAACGCUGAUAUAUUAUCAAUUUAGUCAUCGAUUUGGGUCAAAUUAUUGUAAUAACUGACGGUUAAUUAUGUAUGAAUAUCAGUAUUGAUUAUAAUUAUAGCUAACUUCAGUUCCAUAGGACAUUUUAAAACUGGAUUCACAAAGUGCUUUACAAAAUAAUAAUAAAUAAAACAACAAUGAAAGAUCAGAAGAAAGACAACAAAACAUUAGCAAAGACGAAGAGAAAGACAACUGAACAUUAAUCAAGACAAUUAUUCAAUAGUUAAGACAAUAAACCUAUGAGCAACAAUAAAACAUUAAAAAUGAGUUACAGGGAUAAAAUAAAUAACUGCAAAAAAUUCAGAGCACAAAAUAUUAAAAGAAAGACAAUGAAACAUUAAUAAAAGAGUUACAAGCUGCUUUUGUAACAGCAGCUAAUUCUCCUGUUAAUAUCCUUAUGUAUUAUUUAACCCAUCUGUCAGACUGUUUUUAGAGCGGUUUUCAAUAUUCAACACAAAGUCUAUAUUAAACAGUAACAGGUAAGUGUAGUGUUGGUUUGGUUUGGUUCGAGAUAUUUAUUUCGAAUAUGUAAACACAAGUAUCAGGUGAGCAAAGAAUGGAUAUUAAAUAUCCAUAUAUAUAUACUGUAUAUGCAUACACAUACAUACAUACAUAUAGACAUACAUACCCAAGACUGAUAUACAUACAUAUCCAUACACAUGCAUGCAAAACAAUUUCAUAAAGCAGAAGAAUUUUGCCACACUUUUGGAGUAGAUCUACAUAUUCGAAAAGGAGUGAGAAGAAGUGAGCAAACACUUAUUUAAUCCCACCCCUUUUCCAUAAACUAUUGAUUGAUAAUUUCCAGCUUCCUAAAAUUUAAUUAUAUAACAUUCAAUAUAUAUUUAUACAUGUAAGAUAUGAUAAAGUAAUAUGAUAUUAUCGAUUUAUAUUUAUCUCUAUAAAUAUAUACACACACAUUCAUGUUUAUAUAAAUACACAUACAUACACCUAUGUACAUAUACGCAUUCAUACACACAUAUAUACAUACAUACAUACAUGCACAUACACAUACCCUCAUACCAAAAAGAACAGAACUAGAAACCAAUCAGUAAUUCAUCCUUAGUUACCAAUUAAGUAAUUAACAACAUAAACCAUAACUCCUGUAAACACCUGGCAUAAGUCAAGCCCCCUCUUCUUCCUUGUAUCAUGCAAAGAUCAUGUUUUUAUACUGUAUUUUAAACUGGUUUAUACUUGUACAUUGCUUCAACUCCACAUUCAGUGUUAAAAGAUGGCUAUAUAUUUUAUUUAUUUCAACUUUAUUCCAGACACUAGGUCCAAAUACACACACCAUAAAAACAAAGACACAACAAGACACAAAAAGGAUACAAUCAAAAACAGUUAAAACGUCCCUUUAAAGAGACAGCUAUACCAGUGCUUCCACAUCCCAGACUGAUAGCGAAUGGCACUACAGCCAAUAUUCACCAGUGACACAAUCACUUCAUUAUUUGAGAUAUUCAGUCUACAAAUAAAACUGUACAUCAUUUUACGCAGUGUGGCUUGCAGAGUGUUAAUUCUGGCUGACACAAACAUCUCACUCGCACUAGCCCAUCUUGGUCUCCUAAGAAGAACACGCAAGGCGUCAUUGUAGGCCACCUGCAGUCUUUGUAAUGUUCCUUUCUUGUACUUAGUCCAAAGGUGAGCAGUGUAUAAAGGUGUGAUAUAUGAUUUAAACAACGUUAUCUUCACUUUUUCAGUGCAAGACCCAAAUUUUCGUGCCAGUGUAUUUGCUUGAGCGUACAAUGUUCUACAUUGUCUAUUUAUGUCAUCAUCAUCAGACAAAUCCUCUGUGACGAUGUGACCAAGAUAUUUUAUUUUGUUUGUUACUUUCAGCACAUUAUUUGACAAAUAAAAAUUCGGAAAAUUGACA
Long non-coding RNA from Acanthochromis polyacanthus (spiny chromis), 2337 nucleotides. RefSeq lists it as uncharacterized. Lineage: Eukaryota; Metazoa; Chordata; Actinopteri; Pomacentridae. The transcript has 2 exons. The record is from RefSeq and is a predicted model, not a curated record.